This 202-nucleotide ribosomal RNA is filed under the name uncultured bacterium. Its description in RNAcentral is "partial 16S ribosomal RNA". It matches the Rfam family "Bacterial small subunit ribosomal RNA", at positions 524 to 724 of the family's 1533-position model. The record is from RNAcentral.
UACAGAGGGUGCAAGCGUUGUUCGGAAUUAUUGGGCGUAAAGCGCGUGUAGGCGGCUUUGCAAGUCGGGUGUGAAAGCCCUCAGCUCAACUGAGGAAGUGCGCCCGAAACUGCAGAGCUUGAGUGCCGGGAGAGGGUGGCGGAACUUCCCAAGUAGAGGUGAAAUUCGUAGAUAUGGGGAGGAACACCGGUGGCGAAGGCGG